This 397-nucleotide long non-coding RNA is filed under the name Homo sapiens (human). RNAcentral describes it as "non-protein coding lnc-ITGB8-2:10". The record is from RNAcentral. Lineage: Eukaryota; Metazoa; Chordata; Mammalia; Primates; Hominidae.
AGAGUUUCACCCUAAGAAGAAAGGGGAAGCAGGUGGAAAAGCAAUUAAAAAAAAAUCAGCAUCUCUCUCUAGCCUAUUAUCUCCUGUUAGACACAGCCCAGAAAAUGAAUAGAGACAAGUCCUGGCUGGGUCUGGGUUCAGAAACAUAAUAGAAGGAUUCAUCUAAUGAUAACACGCAAGGAAAUAUGGGCCAACUCUUCACAUGAACACAAGAUAUUUCCAUGCUAGCCUUUUGCAAGUAACAACAGAGAGAGCUCUGUGCAGUUUUCACUGGAAUGCCUGUGGAUUGCUUGUGUCAUAACUGUAAUCUAAAGAGUUGUCCAUUUGUUGAUUCCUUUGUAUUUGUAUUGGUAGAAUUGCCACUAUCAAACCAAGAUCUUUAGCUGCCUUUGUAUCA